Molecule: long non-coding RNA, 4715 nt
Organism: Acromyrmex echinatior (Panamanian leafcutter ant)
Lineage: Eukaryota; Metazoa; Arthropoda; Insecta; Hymenoptera; Formicidae
Source: RefSeq, a predicted model, not a curated record
UUCCAGAGUAUCCUUUUAGAUCAAAUGUUGACCUGUGUUAUCAUUCGCCUUGGUUGGUAACCACCGGCGCCAUAUUGCGUAGCACGCGCUCCAAUAGCCACAGCCGGCAGUCUCUCUGCCACGUCCGAGCGUGUGCAUUUCGACACGUGAUGUAUUUAUUUCAUUAAAUGAUUUAUCAUACAAAAUUCGUUAUAUUGCAUCGUCGUGUUAUAUUGCCUCCUGUCGCCUUUUUUCUCGCCUUUACGUAUCCAACAACUGGCGGUGUCUUCAAGUGAAAAUGUGAUCUCAACUGAGGAUAAUGGACUCGACGAAACAGAUCGAGGUUCUAACGAUCGCCAUUAACAGCCUUCUCCAACUUCAGCUUACUCAACAAUGAAGCGAACAAGAAGUGGCAUCGUCAGAUAACACAUCGUCUCUCUCUUUGAGACCUAUAAUCAUCUAAGUGCUCGUGUAGAAAAAUAUCAUUAUGAUUCUGGUGACGAUGUAAAAUCUUUCACAAAAUGAUUGCUACGUUAUAAAUACAUUAUCGUCAUGGAAGCAGUAUGCCUGCCACCUCAAAUACAAACACGUUUGAUGCUAGACAAACUUGGUCAAACGGAAUUUGACAAGCUAGUAGAUCAUGUCGCGCUUAUAGAUCCAACGCGCAUACCUCAGGACGAACUCAUUAAAACAUUGAAAGAACUUUUCCGAGAUAAAGUUCCCAUUACUCGCCGUCGUAUAGAAAUUUUAAAUUACCGUUACGACAAGCCGAUUCUGAUCACGGACAUUUUGACCGCAUCAAUUGUCAUGUGGAUUUUGAUCGAUCUAAGAUGACGGACGAUAGUCUUUAUAUCCUUCUCUUGUUGCAAUCAUUCUGCUACUCCAAAGAUAACGACGAGUUAAAAAGAGUCGCUCUCCGCGUGAUAGAGAAGAAUCAAGACGCUUCAUUCAAGGACAUCACAGAGCUCGAAGUACACAUGAACGUCCGGCUUAAAAACGCUGGAAAGUUUUCAACAAAACAUCCUCAAUCCUCAGUGCAAAUUUGCGACAAACUAUCUGUGAACACCACGCACAAAAUGUUUGUGCAUCAUUAACAUCUGACAGUGUAUCCGCUACGAAUUUGUCAAGUGAACAAACCGCACACCUCCUAAGUGCGGUCAAUCGCGAAGUUACGCACGACGCGUAUCUCGAAAACAUCCUCCAUCGUUUUCCGAAUCUAUUCGAAGAAUUAGGCCGCAAUUUCAAAGCAAAAUUCGACUUUGCAAGUGACGCUCAUCCUGUGCAAACGCCUUGCCACCAGAUUCUAUUCACCGGAAAGUCUCCUCGACGAGGAACUGUUGCGUCUCGUCUUGAAUGGUAUCAUCGAGCGAGUAGAAAUCUCAAACUAUUCAGCGCCCAUAGUUAUCGCGGAAAAAAAGAACGGCAAACUUCGCCUGUGCGUUGAUUCUUCAACGGGAGUUAAUAACGUGAUUAUGAACAACAAGCACCGCUGUUCUCAGUAGAAAACAUUAUGUCAAAAUUGAAUAGUAGUAGUUGCUUUUUCAGUGUACUGGACCUCAGUGCGCGUUUUUCCAACUGAAGAUUAACGAGGAUCAUCAUGACAUUAUAACAAAAACAAAAGGCUUUUCAGAUUUAAGCGCUUAUCUUUCAAAAAAAAUUAAAACAGCUCCAGCUAUCUUCCAGCAGGCUAUGGAUCUCACACUCCGAUCUCCCUGGAGUAUAUGCAUAUCUGGACGACAUCGUAAUUCUAGGUUCCUCCCAACAAGAACACGAUAUCCGUUUGCACGACACUCUGCAACGCUUGCAAGAUCGAGAUUGGAAACUCAGAGCUGAGAAAUGCCACUUCGCAUUGAAAGCAAUCAAAUAUUUAGGAUGGUUCAUAAAUUCCCAUGGCAUUUCAGUCGAUCCAGAGGCCAUCAGUGCCAUAGUAAACAUGCCGAAACCUACUUCAUUUCAAAAGAGUUUCCUUGAUAUGGUGAAUCAUUAUGGAAAAUUUAUUCCUCACCUACACCAGUUAAAGCAUUCUUUGGAAGAACUUAUUCGUAAAAAUCGCCUUUGAGUUUGGAGCCAACCACAUGACUCAGCAUUGGAACAAAUAAAGAAGGUUAUGCUGAGCCCUCUUCUAAAACAUUACGAUUCAUAAAUUCUAGUGACAGCAGCCGUUUGUGCUACUAGAAUCGGUGCCGUUCUCCUGCAACGUGACUCCAACAAUCACGAACGUGCAGUUUUCCAUAUGGCUCAGAGUCUCACUAGCGCUCAACGCAACUAUUCCUAGUUGAAGAAAGAGGCACUCGCACUCAUCACAGCUGUCGAGCGAUUCCAUAAGUUUGUCUAGGGAAGAAGAUUUGUACUACAAACGGACCACAAAUCUCUCGUGACGCUACUACAAACGACACUAAGGGACUCAAACUAACAACUGCAGCCCGCCUUAAACAGUGCAAUACGAUUACUAGAUUAUGAUUUUAAAAUCGAAUAUAUACGUACUCAGGAUUUUGGCCAAGCAGACGCACUCUCUCGUUUAAUUAAUAAUUUCCAUCGCGAUAAUGCCGAAGAACUUCAAGUAGUUUGCAUCCAUGAUGUCGAAACAGAGCUCCUUCAGAUCAAAAAUUUGUCAAUCGACUUCUUCGGUAAAGAACUUUGAUACAAACUGAAGCUAGCAAUCAAGGAGUCCCCCAUCCCUCAUUCUACGUUCUGUUUUUCAGGCCAUCAAACAAGGCCUAAAUAUUGAAAGACCUAAAUAUCAUCGACGAUAUGCUAUUUCUAGGCGACAGAGUCGUCAUCCCUGACGAACUCAGACCGGCGAUCUUAGCCAUCCUCACAAAGGUCACCCUGGAAUACGUAGAACUAAACAACUCGCUAUGUGUAUUGGCCAAAAAUGACAGAAGACAUCGAACGUCCCAUUUACCCUUGCGCCGUGAAUCAGAAACUUCCAGUAAAGGUGUAUCGCUGAAUCCGUAGCCCACUCCUACACGCCCUAUGGAAUGCGUACACCUAGACUACGCUGGUCCAGUCGACGGCCAAUAUCUGCUUAUUUUCAUGGAUGCAUUUUCCAAAUUCAUUGAUAUCACUAUCAUUGAUACUACUACGUAGGCUGCUGGAAAAGUUUCUGCAAACAAUAUAAAAAAAACAUGUAAAAUUCGGUAAAUGACUUUAUUGUUUUUCGAAAUAUUCGUCUUUAAGAUCGACAUUUUUGCAUACGCUCGAACCAAUUUUCGAAGCAUUUUUUCCACUCUGAGGCUGUAAUCUCAGAAAUCAGUGUACGAAAUAUUUCAACAGCUGCUUCAGGCGACUCAAAUCAUUCACCACGCAUCUUCUUUUUAAUGUUUGAGAACAAAAAGAAGUUAUUAGGUAAUAAAUCAGGUGAAUAGGGACAAUGAAUCAUCAAUUCGACAUUUUUAUUGGAUAAAAAAUCAAUGGUUUGACGUGCUGUGUGACAGCUAGCAUUGUUAUGAUGAAGGAUAAUGCGACGAUUUCGGUUUGUUCUACACAAUUCAUUUAUGAUUUCUCGCAAACAAAUUGUUCUAUAAUCAAUAUUUACAGUCCUUCGAUCCUCUAAAGCCACGGUCACAUGUCCGGUAUAACUGAAGAAACAAGCAAUCAUUUGCUUGACAGCACUGCGUGAACGAACAACUUUUGUUGGUUUCGAUUCAUUUUGAAAUACGCAAACAAUGGAUUGUUGUUUACUUUCGGGCUCAUAGGAAUAGAUCCAUGUUUCGUCCCCAGUAACGAUGUUGUAGACCAAAUUUCACCGACCUCGGUUGAAUUUCUUGAGCAUUUCUUUGCUCCAUUUAACACGAGCCUGUUUUUGAGCUUUGAUCAAAUUGUGUGGGAUCCAACGACUGCAAAGUGAUCAUGCAAAAUCGUAUGUAUUGCUUUCGUGUCAAUACCUAAGGAUGCCUGAAUCUCGCGGUAUGUCAUAUGCCGGUCUCGCUCAAUCAUUUCACGCCCAGCAUCAACAUUAGUGGCAACAACAGAAGUGAAUGGACGAUCUUCAUGGAAUUUGUCACAAAGAAAGGUAUGUCCACGCUGGAAUUGGCAAACCAAUUAUAAACAGUCCUAUUGGAUGGUGCUUCAUCCCCAAAAGCCAAAGUCGAUCGAUGCAUUUCGGAGUUAGAUUACAUUUGUAAUCGUAAAAAAUCAUUACCCGAAAAUUUUCACGUGAAAUUUCCAUUUUCUCACAAAAUAACUUCUUUUAAAAUACUAUGCAAACAAAACUAGUUGGCUCGGGUACUGAAUUACGACUGAAUUAUAGGUUAAAAAUGUCUAAUUUUACGGAUAUGAUAGUAGCAGAACGUUGGCGCCACUAGAAGUAUUAGAUUGCAGAAACUUUUCUAGCAGCCUAUGUAUAUCGGCUAAUCGUACUGUCGAGAAUUCUUUUGCAGGUACGGACCUUCAGACGUGUUUGUCUCAGACCAUAGAACGCAGUUCACCUCAGAAACCUUCGCCACCCUUUGCAGAGAAAUGCAGAUCUCUCACUUACUUUCCCUGGUCAACCAUCCACAAUCUAAUGACCAGGCCGAAAGCUAUCGUUACGCACCUUGCUCAAAUGCCUUCGAGGAUAAAACUCCAGCCGACCUUUUUUUUGGACGCCAUAUGAAUUCUCUGUUUACCAAGUGGCUCCUGAAACAUAACACUCCGAAUCCGACUUCAGCGGAACCCUCAAUUAAACAUGUCGAAGCAAUUUUCGAAGCAUCACGGUGCUUAACCACGCCACUUAAUGGCGGGAGAUAGAGUAA